This is a long non-coding RNA of Antechinus flavipes (yellow-footed antechinus), 4588 nucleotides long. RefSeq lists it as uncharacterized. The transcript is spliced from 2 exons. Lineage: Eukaryota; Metazoa; Chordata; Mammalia; Dasyuromorphia; Dasyuridae. The record is from RefSeq and is a predicted model, not a curated record.
GGCAGGCCGGGGAGGGGGAGGGGCGAGAAUGGGACUCCCUCUCCUGCGGCCCUUCGGGGGCGCCCGCCUCCUAACUCCGCGCUGCGCCCGCUGACCCCUUCCCCCUUCUCCUCCCCCGGAGCCUGACCACCGAAGGAAACCCUCGGGCCCCGCGGACGCGCCCCGUCGUGGCCUCCUGGCUUUAGAAGGAGAAAGGACCUUGACUGGUCCAAGGUCAACCAGGGAAUGAGAGGCCGACAGGGAUUCGAAUUCAGACCUUGUGACUCCAGUCUAGCAUUCUGCGUCAAUCAAGAAGCAUUUGUGGUUGUUUAAAAAAAAAAAAAAAAAGGCACCCAGUUCUACGGUCUGGGAAAACCUAGACCAAAGUGAAACAGACCCUGCCUUCAGGGAACUUACAUGGGGCGGGGGAGGAGCGGGAGAAUAUGUUACCCAAGUGAAACUGACCCAGUGAAACCGACCCUGCGGGGGGGAGGGGGGAGGAAAGGGGCACUAAGACAAAAGCAAAAGUGAAAUAAACCCAGUGAAACUGACACCGUGAAAUUGACCCAGCUCCGGGGGGAGGGCACUGAGACAAAGACAAAAGAGAAAUCCAGUGAAACUGAUUCAGUGAAACUGACCUGCUCUGAGGGGAUGGGGGAGAGCACUAAGACAGACAAAAGUGAAAUAAACCGAGAGAAACUGACUCAGUGAAACAGACCCUGUCCGCUCCUCCCAAACAAAAACGAAAGUGAACGAUCUUGCCCUCAGGGAGUUUGCUUUCUCUACUCCGGGUAGAGAUGGAAUCCCCGGAGCUGAUGCCCAGGUGGCUCUUUCCCUACACCACCGAUGCCAAAUGGUGCCUCGGAGUACUCGAUUUGGCAUCGAAAGACCUGAAUUCAAAUCCUCCCUCUACCACACCCUAGUUGUGUGAGCCUAAACAAGUCACUUCACUCUACACGUUUCCUCCUCCUGAGGUCCCCUCCCCUUCUACAUCUAUGAUCUAGACAUUUCUCUUAAUGUCCCCAGGAAGGGGAUUAGGAAAGGUUUAUUUAUUCUACUAAAUAUUGAUGCGGGAUGAGGUGGAGGAGGAGAGUUGAUAGAUGUUAAAGACCAACCUUUCUGUUUAUAUUUAUCCAGAACGGAAACAUUCACCAGUAAAUAUGGCGGUGCGUCAUGGAAACAGUUUUGUUUCCCAGAUAACCUUUUCCCCUGGGAAAGUGGAGAAAGGAAGAUCUCUGGAGCAGUUUUCCAGGACAAUGCCGUUUCAGCCAAACUAGACUCAUCACAGUCCUCUUCUUCAUCCAUCUACCAGCCUUUCCUCUUAUAGUCCUUCCAGACUCAGACUCCACCUCUUCCCCCUCCCAUUUCUGUGACCUCCUCCCAGAAGCCUUCCCUGAACCCAGUAGCAGAAAUCUUCCGCUCCAGCACCUCCCCCCCAGCAUCUGUCCUGCACAACCACAUGCCACAUCCUUGAGCUGUUCCUUUAAGAAUUUUGUUUACCGUGGCAGGAACCCUUUGGGGUAGGGACUGGGUUGGUUUAUCAUCUUUCCAUCCAUUCCUACCACAGGAGGUAGAGAAGGGAAGAGAGAGGAGAGGUCUGCUUUGGCCACAUUGGGCUUGUGAUCACUCCGGGGCAGCCAGUUUAGGGACGUCAGUUGGUAGCGUGGGGCUGAAGCUCAGGGGAAAGCCUGAGCCUGGAUGUAGGGAGUGGGAGUCAUGUGGAGAAAGCACCGCCAACCCCUAGAAGAAGGGCAAGUUACCAAGAAAGAGGGUUAGGGUUAGAGAGCAGAGCAGAGGGCCCCCCAGUGCACACAACAGGCGCUUAAUAAAUGUUUGUGGCUCUGUGCUGCAACGGCCAGCUCUAGCACUCUCAGCAAAUAAAAAUAGGAGCUAAGAUUUGCAAUGAGUGUCUUCCUUCUGCAUUUUUUGCCUUACUUUUAGCAAUGGAAAUUAGGACCAUGAACCAUGGGGCAAUGGACAGUUAGGACAUCAAAUCUAGUUCUCUUUGUUAUUUUGUAAAGCUGGCGUUUUCCCAUGGGGGUAGAGUGAAAUGUGGCUUUGGAAGGGGAGAGCCUGUGAGCCGAUGGAUUCUGGGUGUCUUAGCACAUCAGGGUAAGACAUCUAGAGGAGAGCUCCUAAAGCAGGCCUUCUCAAACUUUUGUUUUCAGUAUCUUUAUCUUAUUAAAAAAUGAUUGAGGAUCUCUCCAAAGCGUUUUUGUUUAUCUGGAUUAUAUUUCUAGACAUUUACCAUAUUGGAAAUAAAAACUCUUUUUGAAUCUGUAGACUCUCUAAAAGGGUUUCAGAGAUCCCCAGGAUUCUCUAGAUCAUACUUUGAGAACCACUGUCCUAAAGGGAUGAAGGGCCUCAAGUCCAUAUCAAAUGAGGCUGUUUGAAAAGGAAGGAGUCAGGGCAGCCAGAUGGUGCAGUAGAUAGAGUACUAGGCCUGAAGUCAGGAGGAUCUGAGUUCAAAUGUGACCUCAGACACUUAACAUUUCCUAGCUGUGUGAUCCUGGGCAAGUCACUUAACUCCAAUUGCCUUUGCAAAAAAAAAAAAAAAAGGAAGAAAGAAAGAAAAGAAAAGGAAGGAAAAAGAAGAGAACCCUGGCAGUGUUGGGGGUGGGGGUGGGGGUGGGAAGGAUAGUAGCAUUCUUCCAGUAUUUGAAGGGCUGUAUGUUUUAGUCCCAAGAGCAAUUGAGAGGAGCAGCAGCCAGGCCCCUCCAGUGCUUGGGAUCAGAACAGCUUCACCUAUCAGAGUUAUCCCACUCUCGGUGGUGACAUGGCUUCCCACUCAUCCCUGUUGUUUAAGCAAAGGCUGAGCAAGUACCCAUCUGUUACCGUGGAGACGCUGUUCCUGGACGUGGGCUGGCUGACAGCUCUGAAUCCCAUAAGGGUGGGAAUGCAGUGAUUUCUGUGAUUUAGGUGUAUCCAGGUGAUUUUUUUCUCUACUUGGAUUGAAAUGGCUGUGUGGGUGGCCUGUGCUUGGGGCCUGCAGGUCCCUGAAGUCUCUGCCACAUCUUUCCAGGUGCCCAAGUCACUGAGAUAGCUCGUUAAAGCUCUUACUUGUGUCCAGUCCUGGGCUAAACACUCCACACAGAAAUACCAGCCAGGAAGACUCCCUUGCCCUCAAGGAGCUCACGUUCUGCUGGGAAAGACAACCUAUACAGCAGCCCUAGAAAGCUGGCGUGGCCAGGAAGCUGGGGCGGAGGCUCCUAGCAAGAUAAACCCCCAAACUCCCCUGUCAGAGCUGGGGGGGGGGGCCCUGACCCAUGGAAGAUGCCAGAGCCAUCGCCUAUGUGUGUGGAUACGGAGCCCUAGUGAGCCCUAGCAAACCCUAGCAAGCCCUGGUGAGACUUAAUGAGCCUUAGUGAGCCUUAGCAAGCCCUCGUGAGCCUGAGCAAGCCCUGGUGAGCCUUAGCAAGCCCUGGUGAACCUUAGCAAGCCCUAGUGAGUUUUAGCAAGCCCUAGUGAGCCUUAGCGAGCCCUAGUGACUUUUAGCAAGCCCUAGUGAGCCUUAGCAAGCCCUAGUGAGCCUUAGCAAGCCCUAGUGAGCCUUAGCAAGCCCUCGUGAGCCUUAGCAAGCCCUGGUGAGCCUUAGCAAGCCCUGGUGAGCCUUAGCAAGCCCUCGUGAGCCUUAGCAAGCCCUAGUGAGCCUUAGCAAGCCCUCGUGAGCCUUAGCAAGCCCUGGUGAGCCUUAGCAAGCCCUAGUGAGUUUUAGCAAGCCCUGGUGAGCCUUAGCAAGUCCUGGUGAGCCUUAGCAAGCCCUCGUGAGCCUUAGCAAGCCCUAGUGAGCUUUAGCAAGCCCUGGUGAGACUUGGUGAGGCCUUGUGAGCCCUAGCAAGCCUUAACUCCAAUGUGGACAUCCCUUGGGAAUUUUAAACAUAUUUGACAUUUUUUAAAUGAUAUUAAUCUCUGGCAAAGAAAGGAACCGAAUUUCAAUAACAGCUCCCAUACCCAACUACUUCCAUUUCAAUAAAAGCCAGAAACUCCAAGUUCUGUUUGUUCUCUCUUCCCUUCCGGCUUCUAUUAGUGCAGGUCCUUCUGUCGUUGUGGGCUUUGUGAAUGUCGGAGUUGUCACUUCUGCAGUGCAGUGUGUGUUGUUACCCACUGGCUAGGACCUCAUUAUCUUCUGCUGUCACCCUCUCUGGUCACAGAGGGGCUUCUAGUCUGUCACUACUGGAAGUAAAGCAGUAACAAAUCUUUCUGUGCAAUCUGGCCAGCUUCUUUAACCCAGCGCUAUUUUUCUUUAGUCCAAGUCUCCCUUGGGUGCAGCGUGGCCUGCCCGGGCCACCGGACACCGGACCUCCUGCGCUCCAGGUAGCUGCCGGACGGCAGGGAGCGUCCCCAACCACCAAUGCCGGGCCUCUGAGCAGAGAUGGCCUUGAAGGCAUCAGGGAUGUGAGGGGUGGAAUCGGUUUUAUCAUCAGCUUUUUAUAUUUUUACGUGACUUCUUUUAAAAAUGUGGCCUGGAGCCCUUGGGCAACCUGGCGAGGCCUAUGGAGCCUUUCUCAGAGUUAGGUUCACUGAAGGAAAUGCUAAAUUUUGAUUAGAGAUGAGUGGAUAUAGAGAUGUAGAGUUUUUGCCCUCUUAGUUCAUAGAGCCUCCCCUCCCC